UGAGGCUGAAGAUUCUGAG
RNAcentral lists this unclassified non-coding RNA (19 nucleotides) under Mus musculus (house mouse). RNAcentral's name for it is "oocyte_clustered_small_RNA8146". The record is from RNAcentral. Lineage: Eukaryota; Metazoa; Chordata; Mammalia; Rodentia; Muridae.